GAUGAACGCUGGCGGCGUGCCUAAUACAUGCAAGUCGAGCGAACAGACGAGGAGCUUGCUCCUUUGACGUUAGCGGCGGACGGGUGAGUAACACGUGGGUAACCUACCUAUAAGACUGGGAUAACUUCGGGAAACCUGAGCUAAUACCGGAUAAUAUUUCGAACCGCAUGGUUCGAUAGUGAAAGAUGGUUUUGCUAUCACUUAUAGAUGGACCUGCGCCGUAUUAGCUAGUUGGUAAGGUAACGGCUUACCAAGGCAACGAUACGUAGCCGACCUGAGAGGGUGAUCGGCCACACUGGAACUGAGACACGGUCCAGACUCCUACGGGAGGCAGCAGUAGGGAAUCUUCCGCAAUGGGCGAAAGCCUGACGGAGCAACGCCGCGUGAGUGAUGAAGGUCUUCGGGUCGUAAAACUCUGUUAUUAGGGAAGAACAAACGUGUAAGUAACUGUGCACGUCUUGACGGUACCUAAUCAGAAAGCCACAGCUAACUACGUG
Molecule: ribosomal RNA, 497 nt
Filed under: uncultured bacterium
Lineage: Bacteria
Description: partial 16S ribosomal RNA
Rfam family: Bacterial small subunit ribosomal RNA
Source: RNAcentral